GCGGGGGUAGAGUUCUUCGGAGCUUGAGACCGGCGCACGGGUGCGUAACGCGUAUGCAAUCUACCUUUUACAGAGGGAUAGCCCAGAGAAAUUUGGAUUAAUACCUCAUAGUAUAAUUGAAUGGCAUCAUUUAAUUAUUAAAGUCACAACGGUAAAAGAUGAGCAUGCGUCCCAUUAGCUAGUUGGUAAGGUAACGGCUUACCAAGGCUACGAUGGGUAGGGGUCCUGAGAGGGAGAUCCCCCACACUGGUACUGAGACACGGACCAGACUCCUACGGGAGGCAGCAGUGAGGAAUAUUGGACAAUGGGCGCAAGCCUGAUCCAGCCAUGCCGCGUGCAGGAUGACGGUCCUAUGGAUUGUAAACUGCUUUUGUACAGGAAGAAACACUGGUUCGUGAACCAGCUUGACGGUACUGUAAGAAUAAGGAUCGGCUAACUCCGUGCCAGCAGCCGCGGUAAUACGGAGGAUCCAAGCGUUAUCCGGAAUCAUUGGGUUUAAAGGGUCCGUAGGCGGUUUGGUAAGUCAGUGGUGAAAGCCCAUCGCUCAACGGUGGAACGGCCAUUGAUACUGCUAGACUUGAAUUAUUAGGAAGUAACUAGAAUAUGUAGUGUAGCGGUGAAAUGCUUAGAGAUUACAUGGAAUACCAAUUGCGAAGGCAGGUUACUACUAAUAUAUUGACGCUGAUGGACGAAAGCGUGGGUAGCGAACAGGAUUAGAUACCCUGGUAGUCCACGCCGUAAACGAUGGAUACUAGCUGUUGGGCGCAAGUUCAGUGGCUAAGCGAAAGUGAUAAGUAUCCCACCUGGGGAGUACGUUCGCAAGAAUGAAACUCAAAGGAAUUGACGGGGGCCCGCACAAGCGGUGGAGCAUGUGGUUUAAUUCGAUGAUACGCGAGGAACCUUACCAAGGCUUAAAUGUAGAUUGACCGGUUUGGAAACAGACUUUUCGCAAGACAAUUUACAAGGUGCUGCAUGGUUGUCGUCAGCUCGUGCCGUGAGGUGUCAGGUUAAGUCCUAUAACGAGCGCAACCCCUGUUGUUAGUUGCCAGCGAGUCAUGUCGGGAACUCUAACAAGACUGCCAGUGCAAACUGUGAGGAAGGUGGGGAUGACGUCAAAUCAUCACGGCCCUUACGCCUUGGGCUACACACGUGCUACAAUGGCCGGUACAGAGAGCAGCCACUGGGCGACCAGGAGCGAAUCUACAAAACCGGUCACAGUUCGGAUCGGAGUCUGCAACUCGACUCCGURARCUGGAAUCGYAGUAUCGGUAUAGCAUGAUCGUGAUCCUUCCCGGCCUUG
This 1300-nucleotide ribosomal RNA is filed under the name Flavobacterium sp. EP030. Its description in RNAcentral is "bacterial SSU rRNA". It matches the Rfam family "Bacterial small subunit ribosomal RNA", at positions 64 to 1383 of the family's 1533-position model. Lineage: Bacteria; Pseudomonadati; Bacteroidota; Flavobacteriia; Flavobacteriales; Flavobacteriaceae. The record is from RNAcentral.